CCGCCCCGAAACCUCUCUCUCUCUCUCCAUUCCCUCGUGUUCUCACGUACAGCAGCGAAGAAGCCAGAAAUCAGAAGCUGCCAACGUCCCACCGAAGUUCUCUCCUCUCCACGCUGCCACUUGGCCGCGUCUGCUGGUUGUUUGGUCAACAAACCAGCGUUGAAGACCACUCAUCUUCGUGUCUUCAUCCGCAGGUCAGCAAACCAGCCCAUCUCUGAAGACCGAAGCCCCACAUGGCCUCACGCAGCUGAUUCUCUUCAGUUUCUUGUCAUCCGCAAGCCUCCACCAGCGAAUUCCUUUUUCGUUCGUUGACUCCACCGUUCGUGUCUUCGACUCAGCCGCCCACGAAGACACGAAACCCAGCUACAGUCUCGCCAAAGCUGCCACGUUGAAGCCCAUCUCCUCAAAGACCCAUACGAGCACCAGCCUUCUCGUGACUUCCUCUGGUCAGUCAACCGAAGUAGCUGGAGGACUCAAUGGAGCUGUUGCCGCGUCUUCUUUCUGCCGCGCGUUCAGUCGACCAAGCCGAUUGAGGUCAGCAGUCCAGGACCGGCGUUUCGUUGAAGCAGCCCAGCGUCUUCAAGUCUUCGACCCAAUUCCACUGCAACAGUCCACGAACCUCACGCCCAUUCAAAGCCCAACGAAAUUUGGCCCAUCAGCUUGUAAGUUCCAGCUCAGCUUGCAGAAUUCCAGCCCAAGUGAACAACAGUUUGGCCCACGUUUUCAGUCCAAGCAGAAUUAAGUCCAGAUCAAGUUCAGCCCAAGAUUCCAACAGUAAAGCCCAGCCUUGCUGAGAUUUGUUGGGCCUAAGCUUAAGGCCCAGUCCAAGUCCACCGGUGUUGUCGAAAGUCCAAUUUCGGCCGCCGUCGCGCUACCGUCAUGGUGAUUUGAUCCCCGCUUUUGAUCAAGUGAGUUUUACUCACUAAUGCUUUAUUAGUUUGCUAAUUAUGCUUAAGGUUGGUUAGAUUUAAUUAAGUGCAAUUAGGUGGUUAGAUUAGGUUAGAACAAUUAAAUUAGUGACUUAAUGAUGCAUGUUAGGUGGUUAGACUUAGUCAUUAGCAAGUAGAGAGCCUCUAAUAUUUAUUGAAUGUAUCUCGGGAUUUUUUCCGACCUGUUUUAGGCUCCAAUCAGGCAAUACGGGCCUAAAUUGGAUUUUUAAUAUUUAUUUAUUUAAUUUUCGAAAUUAAUUAUUUAAUUAAUUAUUUUUCUGGAAAUUCAACCGGGAUGGCUGGUGACCCGAAUUUCGUGCUGAUUGUCGUGGUGCAGCCCAUUUAUUUAUUUGAGCUCUACGUUGUGUGGAAUUAAAUUAAUUGUGAACUUUGAGGAUUUGUCCUUAAUUGUUUGUUAUUGAAUAUUUGGUUGGUAGAUGGCCGAGUAUGGGUAUAUAGCGCCAGUUACGUUGAUGGGCUAUAUAGUAGAGGGAAUGGUGAGAGCUAAUUGAGAAUGUUAUUGGCUGAGACCAAUCAGGUACGAUAUUAUUGGACAUACGUGGUUCGGUGAUUGGAAGUAUCACUGGCGAAAACGGCGCCUUAAAGAACGCACGUGAAUGACUUAUAGACAAACGUGGUUCGGUGAUUAAGGAAAUAUCACUGGUGAAAACGACUCCUUAAAGAACUCACGAUGUUGUCUAUUGCCGAUGUCACCUUGGCGAAAACGGCGCCCUAGAAAGGACACGUGGUUCGGUGAUUGAGGAUAUCACUGGUGAAAAUGACGCCUUAAAGAACGCACGGUGUCGGUGAUCGAUAUGUCAUUGGCAAAAACGACGCCCGAGAAACACGUGAUUUGGUGAAUGAGUACACCACUGGGAAAUCGUGGUAUGAGUGGGAAUGACCUAGAGAGGGUUUGACUGACAUGUAAUCGACUUAGUCGAUUGACCAGUGCUUGAUCGGAUGUUGUGAAUUGUUUGAAUAUCUGUGUUUAACCUUGAAUUGCAGGUUGGAACUGAGGCCAAGGUAAGUCCUUUGACUUGUGUUGUGCUUAGGCAACCGUAUGGCGUAUUAGUUUACUAAUCGAGUCUUAGGGGGUAGGACUCUGAUGCGUGAUGGGGUCCAUGGAGCUACGUUGGAUGCUCCUGCAUCAGACUCGCUGAGACGUGGUCUCAUUGGUUAUUGAAUAACCAUUUCAG
This 2125-nucleotide long non-coding RNA is filed under the name Eucalyptus grandis. Its description in RNAcentral is "long non-coding RNA (EGRA_LNC006544)". The record is from RNAcentral. Lineage: Eukaryota; Viridiplantae; Streptophyta; Magnoliopsida; Myrtales; Myrtaceae.